UCCCAGUUGGCUCAGACGGUAAAGCGUCUGCCUGCAAUGCAGGAGACCCAGGUUCAAUCCCUGGGUUGGGAU
Molecule: transfer RNA, 72 nt
Filed under: Bos taurus (domestic cattle)
Lineage: Eukaryota; Metazoa; Chordata; Mammalia; Artiodactyla; Bovidae
Also listed under: 4 other names
Rfam family: tRNA
About the family: Transfer RNA (tRNA) molecules are approximately 80 nucleotides in length. Their secondary structure includes four short double-helical elements and three loops (D, anti-codon, and T loops).
Source: Rfam by way of RNAcentral